GCGAACCAAGUCCCGCAGAGACGCCGCCCGCGGCGCGCGGCCCCGGGGGACGACCCGGGGGCGCGCGUCCGGACGAGCUCCGAACAACCCCUCCGGGCGCGGCGAGCGCCAAGGAAUAGAAGCGGAAGGGGCGGCCGCCCCGCCCGGCGCGGGCGCCGGCGUGGGGAUCCGCCGCCCGUCUGUGGACUGCCAUUUACGGACAGACGACUCUCGGCAACGGAUAUCUCGGCUCUCGCAUCGAUGAAGAACGUAGCGAAAUGCGAUACUUGGUGUGAAUUGCAGAAUCCCGUGAACCAUCGAGUCUUUGAACGCAAGUUGCGCCCGAGGCCACUCGGCCGAGGGCACGCCUGCCUGGGCGUCACGCCACCCGUCGCCCCCUCCCGCGGCACUCCCGUGCCCGGCCGGGGAGCGGAGACUGGCCGUCCGUGCCCGAUCCCUCGGCGCGCGGUCGGCAGAAAAGGAGGACACCGUGCGGCGCGGCACGGCGCGUGGGGGUCGAGAGGCGAUCCGUCGCCGAUCGUGCGCCGUCCCGCCGCGCGCGGCGUCACCCGUGGGACCGGACCCGCCCGCGGCCGCGGGCGCUCGGACCGCGACCCCAGGUCAGGCGCGGCCACCCGCUGAAUUUAAGCAUAUCAAUAAGCGGAGGA
This 647-nucleotide ribosomal RNA is filed under the name Litsea ochracea. RNAcentral's name for it is "eukaryotic LSU rRNA". The stretch from base 206 to 361 matches the Rfam family "5.8S ribosomal RNA". The record is from RNAcentral. Lineage: Eukaryota; Viridiplantae; Streptophyta; Magnoliopsida; Laurales; Lauraceae.